This is a non-coding RNA of Danio rerio (zebrafish), 2786 nucleotides long. Lineage: Eukaryota; Metazoa; Chordata; Actinopteri; Cypriniformes; Danionidae. The record is from RefSeq and is a predicted model, not a curated record.
GAAGAUCCAUUUCUAAACAGGUAAACAUCGUUUUGAAGAAUGAUGUGGGGAGAAUGCAGGUUGAGAAUGCAGGUUGACUUGAGGUUGAUGUUUUCAUAACUUGCACAGUCUCUUCCAUUAAUUGCCAAGAAAUCAGACAUAAUGCUACUCUGACCCAUGCCUGCUAUUACGAUCCUUGAUUGCCAGCCACCAGCCUAUCGACCUUGCAUUACUGCGUUUGAUGUGAGUUCGGACACUAGUGCAUACUCUGUGCUUCCCAGGUAGUAAAGAAUUCUGGCCCAGAUUUGGCACAAAUCUGGCACAUCAGGCAUUCAUCUGGCACUGGCAUACAGCAUGUGGGCCAAACAUGGUUCAGGUUUGGCAGAGGUGGCACCGUCUUGAAGGCGGCAGACAAGACAUGGGCCAGAUGUCAAAUGUAGUAUUUGGCCCAGAUGUUCAAAACUGAUCUGUGGCCCACAUAAGGUUGGCCUUUCUGGUACCACAUUUAAAAUACAUAAAAAUAUUUUUUCGAGUAAAAAAAUAUUUCAAUACGCAGUCAUUCCAUCUUCCGCUUGCAUCUUCUAAUGCCUUUAUUUUAAUCUAGGAAACAAUCAAGAUUGAAUUAUUUGAAUUAAUCUAUUCCUUUCUUGUAUGUUGCAACUAAAUUUACCCUACAUUACAUAUUUUUUUUAUUAUUCAAAUUAUUAUUUUGCUAAUUAUAUUAUUAUUAACCAAUGAUGAUAUACCAUACAAACGGGAGUGUUAAAAUGUUAAGUCAAUUGUUUUUGUGCUGCUUGUCUCAUGCACAAACACCAGAAAAAAUUCAAAAAUCCAAAUCUACCAAUCAGGUUGCUUUGAGUAAAAGCGCGCCCGUAGCGCGCCUAAUGCGCAAUGCUUUAUGGGUUUAUCAAUAUGAUAUUGCAGUCAUGACCAUUGGACGGGCAGCCGCUUGUACACACUUCACAAACGGUCAUGGAUCUAACUGGAGCAAGGCAUUUUGGUGGUACAAAAGACCAGAGUAAAGCCACGAUGUUUCACAUUGUUGUUUUUGACAAAACUAAUGAGGUAGAAGUUGUGCCUUCCAUCUGGAUUAAAAAUGGAGAGUGCUUGUGGCCUCCAAAUAAAACUGAUAUAGCCAAAGCUGUCAGAUUGCAAGAUUGUCCUGGAGACGAAUGGAAAGCCCAUAAGGCCAGAAUUAUCUUCACUUCACAUGACUACAAUGAAGCAAGACGAAAAUUACCCCAAGCUGUUGAACAGACUGAUGUUGGAAGUGAUGAGGGGAACUAACCACGUGCUUUUAAAAGAAAAAGAAUGCCUAAAAACAAUCUAUUGCCUGGGGAGGAUGAUUCAGAGACAGAAAGCAUUGUGAAAGAAAAAAAGUCAAAAAAAAGGAAAAUAUUCAUUGCCCAAUGCUCCAAAAAUCAUCAAGCAGCACAAAACUUUAGCAGUAAACCCAGUAAAGGAAAACAGUCCAGGGUUCAACCCAACAGGCCGCAUCACUGCUGUUUGUCACUAUGAUGACAUGGAAGGCAGCGUGGAAGGAACAAAGUCACAAAACAGAAACUUUUCAUUGCCCAAUGCUAGGAGUAUUGCUAGAUAGGACAACACUAAUGAGUUAGAACCAGGAAAGCAAAGCAGCCCCAAGCUCCAAGUACUCAAUCAAACCACUCCUUCCCACCACCUAAAGGGCCACAUCACUUCUUACGACUAUGAAAGAGGCCACAGCAGUCCUGAGCUUUUUCCAAGUGAUGAUAGUACUCCUGAGCUUUACUUAAAAGGGCACAGCACUCCUAAACUUUACUCAAGAGGCUGCAGCAGUCCUAAUCUCUACUCCGGAGGCCAUAGCAGUGAUCACUUUUACCCAAGAGGACACAACAGCCAAAAGCUCCACACAAGUCAGCACCAUGGAACUAAUAAGUCAUCUUCAAGGCAUAACAGCAAUAAGAUCCACACAUCAAGCACUGAGGUGGCUAGACCAAGUCAUGUUGGCAGUAAAAUUCAUAGAUCAAGCCAUGUUAGCACUAAGAUUCACGGACAAAGCCACUCUGCACCUUCUACAGUCACAUCAAAGCACACUGAGCCACCCCAGACCAGAGAGCAGACAUCAAAUCUGCAAACAUCCCUUCUGCGUAAUAUAUUAACAAAGCAGGAAAUGAUGAUGGACCAACUUUGAAUCAACUUUAAGACGCUGCAGAGUAUGAAACCAACUGAAGAGGCAGAGGCAGUCCUGGAUCGAAACUUGCUGCCAAUAAAAGAUGUUGGUUCUCUGGAAGACAUUGAGGAACAACUACGUAGUAAUCCUGACCUCCAGAAACAGUUGGUAAACAAAUUGGCUCUCAAAGGUGGGGUGGACCUUCAUGAGUGCAUAUGGAGAAUUAUGCAUGGACUGAUGACAAACUCUUUAGCCAGAAAAAUAAACAUGCGGGGAAUCAAUGGAAAGAUUGGAUUCCAGAGCUUACAUUUACGAAAUGUUGUUAUUGAGGCUGUGAGACGAAACUGCCUGACAUCUGAAGCCUCAGAAAAAGACAUUGACUCAACCAUCAAAAGAUGGCUAUAUCUGGCCCCGGAUAGGGAUGGUGGCAGGAAAGAGAGACAAAAGCGAAAGGAGAAUCAGGAGAAAACUGGUUAAAGAACUUGCUUAUAUGGGAUUUGCAACUUAAAAGAGAGCAAAAUGCUGUGUGUUCUGAUGUUAAAGAUUUACAGUAUGCUGAUUUUUCUUGUUUUGUCAUGUUUUCUUAAAUGUGAAAUAAUAAAUAUUGUUCAGAACAGUCAUUGUUGUGAUUUGAUCUGGGAAGGGUUUAGUUUGG